CCAUUCCGCGACCGCGAGCUCAUCUCGCGCAUGGUGGAAGCCUGUGGUGGCAGCGCGGUCAGCUGCAAAGACAGGAUGACAUCAAGUUUAUUCAACAUCAGAGGUGCAGGGAAAGUGUAAUUGCAGUUAUGUGCCACACGGGGGGGGGGCAAAGUUAACAUGCGUAAGGGGGAGACCCAUGCAAAAGAAUGUCACUGUAACAAAAUUCCAGCGUCCAGUGGUUCAAAGUGCUGCGAUAAUGUGACAAAGAAGCACAAACGCAAGUUACAGGCAGUUAUAUGCAAGUACCAAUAAGUGCAAAACAGGUGUCAAUAUUUUGUGAUAGCAUAAAAACAAAUUGUACCAAUAAUAAAUAAGCAUCAACUAAUUUAAGUAAUUAAUGACAACAUAUGGCGCGAUUUCGAUCUUUACAAUGUUUACCCCGGAACGUCCAAGUCCAAUUCCACAUCAAGAAAAAUUAGAACAACUUGUUCACCUUUAUUUCUGGCCUGGGUUACUGCAGUCAUACGAAAAAGGGAAAGAAAACGCUACUUGAGCAAAAAGUUUAUAAGUACAAUAACUAAUUAUUUAUUAGAUGGUUUCCUGAACUGUCCACAACAAUAAUUCAAUGUAUUGGAAAUGCUAUUAUGGGCUUUAUGUUAAGUGUAGUAAGCUUAAAUAUGAAUCUUGUGGUAUAAAACAUGGCGUAUCAAAAAUAAUAUGUUGGGCUAUGUGGGUUUACAUUGACUUCACUCGCUGGAUGCAAACUUUUAAUGCAGAUAAGCAAAUAGAUGGUCACUGCCAUCCACAGUCUAAUUAAAGUUGUCAUUUGGACUUUGCAUGUACUUUUUUUCCCCUUUUUGUUGCCUUGCUCUUCUCUCUGCCACUGUGACUUGUAUUCAUUCAUUGUAUUCUUUUGCCAACAGUGUGAAAAAUCGUAGACUCAUGAUUUUACCAUCCUGUAAAAGCUGGUGUAGUAUGUCUAAGUAAAUAGAUAAGUUCAGGGAUGGAGGAACUGCUGAACUCUGCUGAUUUCCUAAUCUUUUGCCCUGCCUUCCUCUGUUUGCUUCGUUUUCACCUUUAUCAUCUCUAAACCUUGGAGCUGGCUUCAUAGGUCAGUCUUAUUUGCCCAUCAAUAAGUUUGGUUGAAUUAUUUGGGUUAGGGGAUCUGAAAGGAGUAGCAAGAAGGAGACAGAGGCAGUGGAUCCUUUAUGCAAUUCAUUGCGUCAUCAAAUACAUCUUUAGUUUAAAAUAAAAAAUUUAUGUGUGUUACUAAAGGUAAUCCAUAAAGUCACACACAAAAAGAAGGAAAAAAAUCUUCAGUGAGUUGGUAAAAGUGCCAUUUCAUGAAUGGACAAAGACGUUAGUGGAGAUAAAUGUAAAAGAAAAAUCGUAUUUUGAAAGAAAACUGAUAGGUAAACCUCGAUAUAACAAAAUUCUCGAUAUAACGAUUUAACUUUUUAUAACCUCUUGUCCAAAGAACACUAUGUAUCAGAACCCCAAUAUAGCGAAGUGUGUUGGUAUGCGAUUUCAUUAUAACGAAAUUUCGCUGCCGCCGCAAAGGAAUGCUGAGACAACAUAAAUGUAAACUUCCGCGGACGCAGAUAGCCAAAUGAUUGAAUUACAAGCGGCUGCUUGCAAACGCACCUCAAAUCGCGCUCCGCGCGACGAGAGCGACCGCCCAAGUGGAGCCGCUUCAUGUUCCGUAUUAAAGUCCAAGCGCGAUAAGGCGCUAUCGCGCCCCGCGCACCGUGUGCUUUAGGUGCGAGUUAGAGUGUGCGAGAGAGAGGCAGGAAAGAUGGUGGCUUCACGAGUGACGCCUUCCCGCGUGAGCAAAGUGAAAGAGGGAGGGGAGCUCGCUCGCGAUAACGCGAUCAAGCGCGCGCUAGGGGUAAGUUGGCGCGCGUGUCGGCCGUGAAUGCGCGCGGCUGUAAGCGCGGAUGAGCGCAUUCACAGCCGCGCAUCCUGCUUUAAAGGUUAUCUGCCGCGUGCACAAAGAGUGGGCGUGCCGAGACGACGGCAUGGCACCAUGUAAGCCAUCUUCCCGUGCGUUUAGUGUUGGAGGUUGCGUAAUCUCUUGUUCCGGUGACCCGUAGGAGCGAGAGGCAGCCGAAGCGUUCCCUCCCCGCUGCCGGCGCUUUUCCUGAUAGCGUCGUCCCAGUGCGGGCGACGCUAUCAGCCGCGAGGGCGGAGGGCACGUGAAAGCGUGCCUGGCUUCGCUCAAUUCGUACCGCCGAUGUGAAUAUAUACCGUCGACGCACGUGGCAUGAAAUCGUAUCAUUCGUCGCCGACUCCCAAGUUUAUCAAAAUGAAUUGUUUUCUCGUUCAAUUUUGCUUUUUUCGAUUGCCCGAUAUAAUUCGGAAAAUUCUGCGCCCCCUUUCCGUUUCGAUCGGUGACUGCACUUAUUUGCAUAAAGGGUCGAAUUUCAAUGCAACGAAAUUUCAAUAUAACGAAGCAAAUUGCCGAUUUUACCUAUUUCGUUAUAUCGAGGUUUAACUGCAUAUGCUUGUAAAAUAAAAGCCUGAGGUACCAGCUCAAGUGAAAAGUCUAAUGGACCAUGUACAAUGUGGUGCCUGUGAUCAGCAAGAACACCUAAAAAUUGUGCAGGCCAACGGCUCCUUACCAAAAAUUAGCUGACAAAUUAAACAAUUUCAAUUGUGUUUUCAUUCAACUAUUGUUAAAAAGCAAACCAACAAGAGAAGUGUACUCUGGAAGAGAUAAGCUUGAAGCUUACUGGUAUUUAAGAAAAUGUUCAUACCAUAUUUCUGCUGUUUAAUUUCUUUACGAAAGUGACGGAACAAAAGGAUGAAAAAAAUUUUGGUAACAGCACGUCUUCUCCAACUCGUCACUUCUGUCAUCGAUUCAGCAUCUCCAAGUGACUGCGCUUCCUUUGUACCUGUUAAACAGUGCAGCUUCUUGGAAUGAAUCAGGAAUGCAGUGUUUUGCAUCAAUAUCUAUGCCGCCGUCAUAAAGGUAUAGCGCAAUCACAUGGAAGUUGGGAGGAGGGGUACGUACUGAGGCACACAGCAUUCACCGCACUAAAGUCUGCACUUGCUGUAUAUUCCACAGGAACGAAUUUCAUCAGAAAAUUAUUCAUUGUAGGUUGUUUGUAACAGGUGUACAUCUGGUCAGUAAAUAUUUUUAUUCUCACUUUUA
Dermacentor andersoni is the source of this 3136-nucleotide long non-coding RNA. RefSeq lists it as uncharacterized. The record is from RefSeq and is a predicted model, not a curated record. Lineage: Eukaryota; Metazoa; Arthropoda; Arachnida; Ixodida; Ixodidae.